AGUUGAGGUAGCUGGAAUGAGUAGUGUAGCGGUGAAAUGCAUAGAUAUUACUCAGAACACCGAUUGCGAAGGCAGGUUACCAAGUUAUAACUGACGCUGAGGGACGAAAGCGUGGGGAGCGAACAGGAUUAGAUACCCUGGUAGUCCACGCCGUAAACGAUGCUAACUCGUUUUUGGGCUUUAGGGUUCAGAGACUAAGCGAAAGUGAUAAGUUAGCCACCUGGGGAGUACGACCGCAAGGUUGAAACUCAAAGGAAUUGACGGGGGCCCGCACAAGCGGUGGAUCAUGUGGUUUAAUUCGAUGAUACGCGAGGAACCUUACCAAGGCUUAAAUGGGAAUUGACAGCUGUAGAAAUACGGUUUUCUUCGGACAAUUUUCAAGGUGCUGCAUGGUUGUCGUCAGCUCGUGCCGUGAGGUGUUAGGUUAAGUCCUGCAACGAGCGCAACCCCUGUCACUAGUUGCCAUCAUUAAGUUGGGGACUCUAGUGAGACUGCCUACGCAAGUAGAGAGGAAGGUGGGGAUGACGUCAAAUCAUCACGGCCCUUACGCCUUGGGCCACACACGUGAUACA
This 572-nucleotide ribosomal RNA is filed under the name Riemerella anatipestifer. Its description in RNAcentral is "bacterial SSU rRNA". It matches the Rfam family "Bacterial small subunit ribosomal RNA", at positions 650 to 1229 of the family's 1533-position model. The record is from RNAcentral. Lineage: Bacteria; Pseudomonadati; Bacteroidota; Flavobacteriia; Flavobacteriales; Weeksellaceae.